AACCUGCCCUUGACUCUGGGAUAAGCACUGGAAACGGUGUCUAAUACCGGAUACGAGCUUCAGCCGCAUGGCUAGGAGUUGGAAAGAAUUUCGGUCAAGGAUGGACUCGCGGCCUAUCAGCUAGUUGGUGAGGUAAUGGCCCACCAAGGCGACGACGGGUAGCCGGCCUGAGAGGAUGACCGGCCACACUGGGACUGAGACACGGCCCAGACUCCUACGGGAGGCAGCAGUGGGGAAUAUUGCACAAUGGGCGCAAGCCUGAUGCAGCAACGCCGCGUGAGG
Molecule: ribosomal RNA, 282 nt
Filed under: uncultured bacterium
Lineage: Bacteria
Description: partial 16S ribosomal RNA
Rfam family: Bacterial small subunit ribosomal RNA
Source: RNAcentral